Molecule: signal recognition particle RNA, 312 nt
Filed under: Candidatus Odinarchaeota archaeon
Lineage: Archaea; Promethearchaeati; Candidatus Odinarchaeota
Also listed under: 1 other name
Description: signal recognition particle sRNA
Rfam family: Archaeal signal recognition particle RNA
Source: RNAcentral
CGACGGGUAGGGCUGGGUCGUUUGCCGCGACCUGUCACCGGUAAUGGCAAUAGCCGGAGCUAGUAACCAACAUUAAGGAUGAACCGGAACAUCGGUAGGUCCAGUCGCAGGACGUUGACGUGCGGUCUCUUGAGUCUGUCACGGACAUAGCAGCAUUCGUAGGUUUGUUGUGAUUGUCAUAAACUUUCGAACUGGGUCAGGCCCUGGCGGGAACAGCCCUAAGGAAGAGUGAUGGAGCCCAGGAGGUUGCCGCAUUGAGAAAUGCACUGAUUUGCCUUCCGACUACCGACAUUCGAAAUCAAGGAGCCGUCG